UACGGAGGGUGCGAGCGUUGUCCGGAAUCAUUGGGCGUAAAGGGCGCGUAGGUGGCCCGGUCAGCGUGCGGUGAAAGCUCGGGGCUCAACCCCGAGUCGGCCGUGCGAACUGCUGGGCUUGAGCACUGUAGAGGCAGGCGGAAUUCCGGGUGUAGCGGUGGAAUGCGUAGAGAUCCGGAAGAACACCGGUGGCGAAGGCGGGUCUCUGGGCCGAUACUGACGCUGAGGAGCGAAAGCGUGGGGAGCGAACAGG
RNAcentral lists this ribosomal RNA (253 nucleotides) under uncultured bacterium. Its description in RNAcentral is "partial 16S ribosomal RNA". It matches the Rfam family "Bacterial small subunit ribosomal RNA", at positions 524 to 776 of the family's 1533-position model. The record is from RNAcentral.